Molecule: ribosomal RNA, 717 nt
Filed under: uncultured bacterium
Lineage: Bacteria
Description: bacterial SSU rRNA
Rfam family: Bacterial small subunit ribosomal RNA
Source: RNAcentral
AGUCGAACGGAGUUAUUUUGGCAGAAGCCUUCGGGUGGACGCUGAUAUAACUUAGUGGCGAACGGGUGAGUAACACGUGAGCAACCUGCCCUUCAGAGGGGGACAACAGUUGGAAACGACUGCUGAUACCGCAUAAGACCACGGUGUGGCAUCACACAGAGGUCAAAGGAGAAAUCCGCUGAAGGAUGGGCUCGCGUCCAAUUAGCUAGAUGGUGAGGUAACGGCCCACCAUGGCGACGAUUGGUAGCCGGACUGAGAGGUUGAUCGGCCACAUUGGGACUGAGACACGGCCCAGACUCCUACGGGAGGCAGCAGUGGGGAAUAUUGCACAAUGGAGGAAACUCUGAUGCAGCGACGCCGCGUGAGGGAAGAAGGUCUUCGGAUUGUAAACCUCUGUUGUCAGGGACGAUAAUGACGGUACCUGACGAGGAAGCCACGGCUAACUACGUGCCAGCAGCCGCGGUAAAACGUAGGUGGCAAGCGUUGUCCGGAAUUACUGGGUGUAAAGGGAGCGCAGGCGGGAGAGCAAGUUGGAAGUGAAAUCUGUGGGCUCAACUCACAAAUUGCUUUCAAAACUGUUUUUCUUGAGUGGUGUAGAGGUAGGCGGAAUUCCCGGUGUAGCGGUGGAAUGCGUAGAUAUCGGGAGGAACACCAGUGGCGAAGGCGGCCUACUGGGCACUAACUGACGCUGAGGCUCGAAAGCAUGGGUAGCAAACA